Molecule: ribosomal RNA, 468 nt
Filed under: uncultured bacterium
Lineage: Bacteria
Description: partial 16S ribosomal RNA
Rfam family: Bacterial small subunit ribosomal RNA
Source: RNAcentral
GAUGAACGCUGGCGGCGUGCUUAACACAUGCAAGUCGAACGGAAAGGCCAGUGCUUGCACUGGUACUCGAGUGGCGAACGGGUGAGUAACACGUGGGUGAUCUGCCCUGCACUUCGGGAUAAGCCUGGGAAACUGGGUCUAAUACCGGAUAGGACAAUGGUUUGGAUGCCGUUGUGGAAAGUUUUUUCGGUGUGGGAUGAGCUCGCGGCCUAUCAGCUUGUUGGUGGGGUAAUGGCCUACCAAGGCGUCGACGGGUAGCCGGCCUGAGAGGGUGUACGGCCACAGUGGGACUGAGAUACGGCCCAGACUCCUACGGGAGGCAGCAGUGGGGAAUAUUGCACAAUGGGCGCAAGCCUGAGGCAGCGACGCCGCGUGGGGGAUGACGGCCUUCGGGUUGUAAACUCCUUUCGCUAGGGACGAAGCGUAUUUGUGACGGUACCUGGAGAAGAAGCACCGGCUAACUACGUG